Molecule: ribosomal RNA, 372 nt
Filed under: uncultured bacterium
Lineage: Bacteria
Description: bacterial SSU rRNA
Rfam family: Bacterial small subunit ribosomal RNA
Source: RNAcentral
GUAGGGUGCGAGCGUUGUCCGGAUUUAUUGGGCGUAAAGGGCUCGUAGGUGGUUGAUCGCGUCGGAAGUGUAAUCUUGGGGCUUAACCCUGAGCGGUGCUUUCGAUACGGGUUGACUUGAGGAAGGUAGGGGAGAAUGGAAUUCCUGGUGGAGCGGUGGAAUGCGCAGAUAUCAGGAGGAACACCAGUGGCGAAGGCGGUUCUCUGGGCCUUUCCUGACGCUGAGGAGCGAAAGCGUGGGAGCGAACAGGCUUAGAUACCCUGGUAGUCCACGCUGUAAACGGUGGGUACUAGGUGUGGGGUCCAUUCCACGGGUUCCGUGCCGUAGCUAACGCUUUAAGUACCCCGCCUGGGGAGUACGGCCGCAAGGCUA